Long non-coding RNA from Meriones unguiculatus (Mongolian gerbil), 683 nucleotides. RefSeq lists it as uncharacterized. Lineage: Eukaryota; Metazoa; Chordata; Mammalia; Rodentia; Muridae. The transcript is spliced from 6 exons. The record is from RefSeq and is a predicted model, not a curated record.
AUGUGAACUACGCACGGGCUUGCCCGCAGUGAGAAGAAACUCCCAGGCUGCUAACCAGGGCUCUGUCAUUGUCCAUCCGCCUCAAGAAAUCACUCAGGACUUAGAGUGAAAACGACGUUAUUAUGAAAGAUGUAAUGAGAUGCAAAUAACUCUAACGUGCGGUAGCAGCUUGGAGAAACGUCAUUCACUGCGUCAGUGAUCCCCCAGCCUGAGAGAACCUUCGCCUCAUAGAAAGCUAUCCACCAGGUAUGAGCAAGCAACUGUUCUCCUCUGUCUGCAUGCCUUCCCUGCGGGGAUGCCUGGUAUCUUCAGACUGUGGACCAAAUAAGCCCUUCUCACCUGAAGUCACUGUUUGCACGGUUCAUCUGUGUUUUGGUGUAUAUUAGAAAGUCCUUUAUUUUAAAAGGUGAACACCCCCCCAUGUGUACCAUGUGUACCCACCACACUUUGUUUAUCUACUGUUUACCUGAAGCAGGAAAGCUGAAUGCUGCUGUUCAUUUCAAUGUAAGGAAAAAAGAAAGAAAGAGAAAGAAAGAAACCUCUAAGAAUAAUUUUCAGGAUGUGUGAGAGAGAAUGAGAGAAAGCCGGAGAAAAGCAAGAACAUUGAUGUUGGUCUCUAAAUUACACAGUAAAGAUCUUCAAUUUUCCCCAUUUGUUGAUUUAUUUUACCCAGUUUGGAAGAC